RNAcentral lists this long non-coding RNA (350 nucleotides) under Rattus norvegicus (Norway rat). RNAcentral describes it as "long non-coding RNA NONRATT032970". The record is from RNAcentral. Lineage: Eukaryota; Metazoa; Chordata; Mammalia; Rodentia; Muridae.
AGUAGGAAGUUAAUCACCAGGGGCCAGGCCUUGAAGGAAAUAGCUUGUUCCUGACCAUUUUCUCUCUGUCUCUUAUUGUCCUGGCUUUCUAAAGGUGGUCCUGGGAGGUAAAGGAAACGAGCUGAUCCAGUUGGGACAGAUGGCCCUCUACCUUGUAGGCAGCAGGAGCCACAGUAGCAGGAACAUUUUGACAACAUCUCCACUCAGCGUGAGAAGGAAGCCUUCUCUGUGAGGCCUUGACAAUGGGCCCAUAGAGCAUCAGGAAUAAGGGAGAGGUGGACACGACCUAAGGUGACCUCACUUCCAAUGCAUGUUGGUGUGCAGAAAUAAAUGCUGACUUCUGCCAUACA